Apis florea (little honeybee) is the source of this 916-nucleotide long non-coding RNA. Lineage: Eukaryota; Metazoa; Arthropoda; Insecta; Hymenoptera; Apidae. The record is from RefSeq and is a predicted model, not a curated record.
UAAGGAUCGGUGGUGUUGGGUUGGUAAUUCGAGAAAGUAAUCGGACGAUCGAAGCGCGAACCGAUUUUCCACGAGUGAGAAAUUGGCAGCGCAAGCUUUUUUCCGAUAUUAGCUGGUGGUCGGAAAGAGCAGGCGCGCGCGGAUCGCGGGGGAAUCUCGAACCUCUUUGUCCUAAAUGAGUGAGAAGGCCUUUUCAUUUUGAAUGCAUCGCGAAUCUGGGUCAAUUCUGGCUACACCCGGCGUCGCUACGCUACACAUUGCCUAUUUCAGUCCCUCUUUUACUCUCGGAUAAUCGAAGCAAAGUCACCAGGCAAUGGCUUUUCCGCCCGAGUUCCGCGUCUUCUACCACAAUUAUCUCUCUCUCUCUCUCUUCCUUUCUUUCUCUCUAGUCUGUCGACCUUCAAGGUUGUCUAUCUUUCCGCAACUUUUCUCUUUUGUAUUUCGAUCUUUAUUAAUCUCGCUUUAUUCCACUCGUUCGCAUCCUCUGUACAGUAUUUAUCACGUUGCUAUCAGUACGUCUCUUUGAAGCUCGAUCGCUCGGUAUUUCCCGUCGUUUCUGUGAUAGCGAUAGAGUCGAUCCGACACGGCGUUAUAGGUGGUGGUCGGUCGCGUGGCGGCUCGGUGAAAAUUAUUGGUGUACCAGACCAGGGGAAUUACUGGGCGUCGUUUCAUUCCACGGCAAUUAUCUCCGUUGCAGAACGAUUGCAGCUGGAAAAUGCGAAACGUCUAACCGAGGCCGUUGUGUCGCGGUUACCCGACAGAAUGGAUAUACGUACGGAGAGGAGGAUGACCCUCCGGAAGCGUUGGACAUGGGGUGGCCCAGCAGUGCCAGGAAGAGGUUAACUUACAUUUUAGUCGCGCCAAUUCUAUUCCCUCUUUGGCUCACGUUACCAGACACGAGGACACCCAGAGGUAA